RNAcentral lists this long non-coding RNA (707 nucleotides) under Parus major (Great Tit). RNAcentral describes it as "lncRNA (ENSPMJG00000010246.1)". The record is from RNAcentral. Lineage: Eukaryota; Metazoa; Chordata; Aves; Passeriformes; Paridae.
CUGAAAAGAGCAGCAGCUCCGGAGCAAGGCCGGGCUCCGGAGGCAGCGCGAGCAAAUCAACUCGACAAGUGCCUUCACAGGAGUCAGGGCGGGGGGAGCUGGGGAAAAGCCAAACAAAAGCCCCUCCAAAUGUCUGUUUUGAUUUGAGCAGGUUUUCCUGGAAUGUCUCAUCACACCAAGGAACAAUGUGGCCGGCGAGGAGGAGGCUUUGGGAGAAGGUUCCAGCCCGGCAGCGCGGGGAGCGACGCCGCGGUGCCGGGCCCGGCUGCACGCGAUGUCACACGGCUGAAAGCAGCACUUUUUGCCCCAAACUGAGCCACAACCCCGAUGGCAUCGAUGUGAGGCGGGAGGAACUCGUGGAGUUUCCUCACUGAAGCACGAGGGAUGUGCUGGAGCUUUCCCUUUCAUCCCAGCAGAGAAACCUCCCAGUGAAGGGUUCCAUGAGGUACUGGGAUGGAAACCAGGUUCUUACGGAGAUGAUGUUCCCAGCCAGGCUCUGGGCCGUGCUCAGACAUUUCCGUGUUUCCCUGCUCCUCUUGCCGCUUGCUUGGAUUCUUUCCUGGGCUUCCAGAGGUUGAUUUGCACUUCUUCCAGGGAACAAAUAUUUUUUUGGGUUGUUUGGAGGUAAGUUUUUCUCCUGGGAUGCUCACAGGUACUGCUCUGGUUUGUCUCAUUUUUGUGGGAAAGGCUGGUCUGAGCCUCUCCAA